RNAcentral lists this ribosomal RNA (2902 nucleotides) under Enterobacter asburiae. RNAcentral's name for it is "23S ribosomal RNA". It matches the Rfam family "Bacterial large subunit ribosomal RNA". The record is from RNAcentral. Lineage: Bacteria; Pseudomonadati; Pseudomonadota; Gammaproteobacteria; Enterobacterales; Enterobacteriaceae.
UUAAGCGACUAAGCGUACACGGUGGAUGCCCUGGCAGUCAGAGGCGAUGAAGGACGUGCUAAUCUGCGAAAAGCGCCGGCGAGGUGAUAUGAACCUUUGACCCGGCGAUGUCCGAAUGGGGAAACCCAGUGCAAUUCGUUGCACUAUCGUUAACUGAAUACAUAGGUUAACGAGGCGAACCGGGGGAACUGAAACAUCUAAGUACCCCGAGGAAAAGAAAUCAACCGAGAUUCCCCCAGUAGCGGCGAGCGAACGGGGAGCAGCCCAGAGUCUGAAUCAGCUUGUGUGUUAGUGGAAGCGUCUGGAAAGUCGCACGGUACAGGGUGACAGUCCCGUACACGAAAAUGCACAGGUUGUGAACUCGAAGAGUAGGGCGGGACACGUGGUAUCCUGUCUGAAUAUGGGGGGACCAUCCUCCAAGGCUAAAUACUCCUGACUGACCGAUAGUGAACCAGUACCGUGAGGGAAAGGCGAAAAGAACCCCGGCGAGGGGAGUGAAAAAGAACCUGAAACCGUGUACGUACAAGCAGUGGGAGCACCUUCGUGGUGUGACUGCGUACCUUUUGUAUAAUGGGUCAGCGACUUAUAUUCUGUAGCAAGGUUAACCGUAUAGGGGAGCCGAAGGGAAACCGAGUCUUAACUGGGCGUUAAGUUGCAGGGUAUAGACCCGAAACCCGGUGAUCUAGCCAUGGGCAGGUUGAAGGUUGGGUAACACUAACUGGAGGACCGAACCGACUAAUGUUGAAAAAUUAGCGGAUGACUUGUGGCUGGGGGUGAAAGGCCAAUCAAACCGGGAGAUAGCUGGUUCUCCCCGAAAGCUAUUUAGGUAGCGCCUCGUGAACUCAUCUUCGGGGGUAGAGCACUGUUUCGGCUAGGGGGCCAUCCCGGCUUACCAACCCGAUGCAAACUACGAAUACCGAAGAAUGUUAUCACGGGAGACACACGGCGGGUGCUAACGUCCGUCGUGAAGAGGGAAACAACCCAGACCGCCAGCUAAGGUCCCAAAGUCAUGGUUAAGUGGGAAACGAUGUGGGAAGGCACAGACAGCCAGGAUGUUGGCUUAGAAGCAGCCAUCAUUUAAAGAAAGCGUAAUAGCUCACUGGUCGAGUCGGCCUGCGCGGAAGAUGUAACGGGGCUAAACCAUGCACCGAAGCUGCGGCAGCGACGCUUAGGCGUUGUUGGGUAGGGGAGCGUUCUGUAAGCCGUUGAAGGUGUGCUGUGAGGCAUGCUGGAGGUAUCAGAAGUGCGAAUGCUGACAUAAGUAACGAUAAAGCGGGUGAAAAGCCCGCUCGCCGGAAGACCAAGGGUUCCUGUCCAACGUUAAUCGGGGCAGGGUGAGUCGACCCCUAAGGCGAGGCCGAAAGGCGUAGUCGAUGGGAAACAGGUUAAUAUUCCUGUACUUGGUGUUACUGCGAAGGGGGGACGGAGAAGGCUAUGUUAGCCGGGCGACGGUUGUCCCGGUUUAAGCAUGUAGGCGGAGGUUCCAGGUAAAUCCGGUACCUUUUAACGCUGAGGUGUGAUGACGAGGCACUACGGUGCUGAAGUAACAAAUGCCCUGCUUCCAGGAAAAGCCUCUAAGCAUCAGGUAACAUCAAAUCGUACCCCAAACCGACACAGGUGGUCAGGUAGAGAAUACCAAGGCGCUUGAGAGAACUCGGGUGAAGGAACUAGGCAAAAUGGUGCCGUAACUUCGGGAGAAGGCACGCUGAUAUGUAGGUGAAGCCCCUGCGGGUGGAGCUGAAAUCAGUCGAAGAUACCAGCUGGCUGCAACUGUUUAUUAAAAACACAGCACUGUGCAAACACGAAAGUGGACGUAUACGGUGUGACGCCUGCCCGGUGCCGGAAGGUUAAUUGAUGGGGUUAGCGGCAACGCGAAGCUCUUGAUCGAAGCCCCGGUAAACGGCGGCCGUAACUAUAACGGUCCUAAGGUAGCGAAAUUCCUUGUCGGGUAAGUUCCGACCUGCACGAAUGGCGUAAUGAUGGCCAGGCUGUCUCCACCCGAGACUCAGUGAAAUUGAACUCGCUGUGAAGAUGCAGUGUACCCGCGGCAAGACGGAAAGACCCCGUGAACCUUUACUAUAGCUUGACACUGAACACUGGUCCUUGAUGUGUAGGAUAGGUGGGAGGCUUUGAAGCGUGGACGCCAGUCUGCGUGGAGCCGCCCUUGAAAUACCACCCUUUAAUGGCUGGUGUUCUAACGUAGACCCGUAAUCCGGGUUGCGGACAGUGUCUGGUGGGUAGUUUGACUGGGGCGGUCUCCUCCCAAAGAGUAACGGAGGAGCACGAAGGUUAGCUAAUCCUGGUCGGACAUCAGGAGGUUAGUGCAAUGGCAUAAGCUAGCUUGACUGCGAGAGUGACGGCUCGAGCAGGUGCGAAAGCAGGUCAUAGUGAUCCGGUGGUUCUGAAUGGAAGGGCCAUCGCUCAACGGAUAAAAGGUACUCCGGGGAUAACAGGCUGAUACCGCCCAAGAGUUCAUAUCGACGGCGGUGUUUGGCACCUCGAUGUCGGCUCAUCACAUCCUGGGGCUGAAGUAGGUCCCAAGGGUAUGGCUGUUCGCCAUUUAAAGUGGUACGCGAGCUGGGUUUAGAACGUCGUGAGACAGUUCGGUCCCUAUCUGCCGUGGGCGCUGGAGAAUUGAGGGGGGCUGCUCCUAGUACGAGAGGACCGGAGUGGACGCAUCACUGGUGUUCGGGUUGUCAUGCCAAUGGCACUGCCCGGUAGCUAAAUGCGGAAAAGAUAAGUGCUGAAAGCAUCUAAGCACGAAACUUGCCCCGAGAUGAGUUCUCCCUGACCCUUUAAGGGUCCUGAAGGAACGUUGAAGACUACGACGUUGAUAGGUCGGGUGUGUAAGCGCAGCGAUGCGUUGAGCUAACCGAUACUAAUGAACCGUGAGGCUUAACCU